Molecule: ribosomal RNA, 500 nt
Filed under: uncultured bacterium
Lineage: Bacteria
Description: partial 16S ribosomal RNA
Rfam family: Bacterial small subunit ribosomal RNA
Source: RNAcentral
AUUGAACGCUGGCGGCAUGCCUUACACAUGCAAGUCGAACGGCAGCGCGGGAGCAAUCCUGGCGGCGAGUGGCGAACGGGUGAGUAAUAUAUCGGAACGUGCCCAGUAGUGGGGGAUAGCCCGGCGAAAGCCGGAUUAAUACCGCAUACGACCUACGGGUGAAAGGGGGGGAUCGCAAGACCUCUCGCUAUUGGAGCGGCCGAUAUCAGAUUAGGUAGUUGGUGGGGUAAAAGACUACCAAGCCUGCGAUCUGUAGUUGGUCUGAGAGGACGACCAGCCAACCUGGGACUGAGAAGCGGCCCAGACUCCUACGGGAGGCAGCAGUGGGGAAUUUUGGACAAUGGGGGCAACCCUGAUCCAGCAAUGCCGCGUGCAGGAAGAAGGCCUUCGGGUUGUAAACUGCUUUUGUCAGGGAAGAAAUCCCUUGGGUUAAUACCUCGGGGGGAUGACGGUACCUGAAGAAUAAGCACCGGCUAACUACGUGCCAGCCGCCGCCGUAA